Molecule: ribosomal RNA, 461 nt
Filed under: Klebsiella sp.
Lineage: Bacteria; Pseudomonadati; Pseudomonadota; Gammaproteobacteria; Enterobacterales; Enterobacteriaceae
Description: bacterial SSU rRNA
Rfam family: Bacterial small subunit ribosomal RNA
Source: RNAcentral
AGAGAGCUUGCUCUCGGGUGACGAGCGGCGGACGGGUGAGUAAUGUCUGGGAAACUGCCUGAUGGAGGGGGAUAACUACUGGAAACGGUAGCUAAUACCGCAUAACGUCGCAAGACCAAAGUGGGGGACCUUCGGGCCUCAUGCCAUCAGAUGUGCCCAGAUGGGAUUAGCUGGUAGGUGGGGUAACGGCUCACCUAGGCGACGAUCCCUAGCUGGUCUGAGAGGAUGACCAGCCACACUGGAACUGAGACACGGUCCAGACUCCUACGGGAGGCAGCAGUGGGGAAUAUUGCACAAUGGGCGCAAGCCUGAUGCAGCCAUGCCGCGUGUGUGAAGAAGGCCUUCGGGUUGUAAAGCACUUUCAGCGGGGAGGAAGGCGGUGAGGUUAAUAACCUUGUCGAUUGACGUUACCCGCAGAAGAAGCACCGGCUAACUCCGUGCCAGCAGCCGCGGUAAUACGG